RNAcentral lists this ribosomal RNA (1356 nucleotides) under uncultured bacterium. RNAcentral describes it as "bacterial SSU rRNA". It matches the Rfam family "Bacterial small subunit ribosomal RNA", at positions 29 to 1393 of the family's 1533-position model. The record is from RNAcentral.
ACGAACGCUGGCGGCGUGCUUAACACAUGCAAGUCGAGCGGAAAGGCCCCUUCGGGGGUACUCGAGCGGCGAACGGGUGAGUAACACGUGGGUAACCUGCCCUCAGCUUCGGGAUAAGCCCGGGAAACUGGGUCUAAUACCGGAUGUGACACAUGGCCGCAUGGUCUGUGUGUGGAAAGAUUUAUCGGCUGGGGAUGGACUCGCGGCCUAUCAGCUUGUUGGUGGGGUAAUGGCCUACCAAGGCGAAGACGGGUAGCCGGCCUGAGAGGGCGACCGGCCACACUGGGACUGAGACACGGCCCAGACUCCUACGGGAGGGAGCAGUGGGGAAUACUGCGCAAUGGGCGGAAGCCUGACGCAGCAACGCCGCGUGAGGGAUGACGGCCUUCGGGUUGUAAACCUCUUUCAGCGCUGACGAAGCCUUCGGGUGACGGUAGGCGCAGAAGAAGCACCGGCUAACUACGUGCCAGCAGCCGCGGUAAUACGUAGGGUGCGAGCGUUGUCCGGAAUUAUUGGGCGUAAAGGGCUCGUAGGCGGCUUGUCGCGUCUGCUGUGAAAGCCCGGGGCUUAACCCCGGGUCUGCAGUGGAUACGGGCAGGCUAGAGUCCGGGCAGGGGAGACUGGAAUUCCUGGUGUAGCGGUGGAAUGCGCAGAUAUCAGGAGGAACACCGGUGGCGAAGGCGGGACUCUGGGCUGUGACUGACACUGAGGAGCGAAAGCAUGGGGAGCGAACAGGAUUAGAUACCCUGGUAGUCCAUGCCGUAAACGUUGGGCACUAGGUGUGGGGGGCAUUCCACGUUCUCCGCGCCGUAGCUAACGCAUUAAGUGCCCCGCCUGGGGAGUACGGUCGCAAGGCUAAAACUCAAAGGAAUUGACGGGGGCCCGCACAAGCGGCGGAGCAUGCGGAUUAAUUCGAUGCAACGCGAAGAACCUUACCAAGGCUUGACAUGCACCAGACAGUGCUGGAGACAGUGCUUCCUCUUUGGGGUUGGUGCACAGGUGGUGCAUGGUUGUCGUCAGCUCGUGUCGUGAGAUGUUGGGUUAAGUCCCGCAACGAGCGCAACCCUCGUUCUAUGUUGCCAGCACGUGAUGGUGGGAACUCAUAGGAGACUGCCGGGGUCAACUCGGAGGAAGGUGGGGAUGACGUCAAAUCAUCAUGCCCUUUAUGUCUUGGGCUUCACGCAUGCUACAAUGGCCGGUACAGAGAGAGGCGAGCCUGUGAGGGUGAGCGAAUCCCUUAAAGCCGGUCUCAGUUCGGAUCGUAGUCUGCAAUUCGACUACGUGAAGUCGGAGUCGCUAGUAAUCGCAGAUCAGCAACGCUGCGGUGAAUACGUUCCCGGGCCUUGCACUCACCGC